Long non-coding RNA from Rosa chinensis, 1065 nucleotides. RefSeq lists it as uncharacterized. NCBI's taxonomy places the organism in Eukaryota, Viridiplantae, Streptophyta, Magnoliopsida, Rosales, Rosaceae. The record is from RefSeq and is a predicted model, not a curated record. The transcript has 2 exons.
UGAUCAGUUGGAAGACCCAGAAUGAUCGAGAGAGAGAGAGAGAGAGAGAGAGAACUGGAGCUCUCCGACCCCGACGCCACUGCGACCCGAGAAGGAACCCGGCCGUCGCGCCACCAUCCGGCCACCCCAAGACGGCGCACACCCACCAUUCCCUUGGCCUCCGCGUCGUCUACGUCCCUGUGGUUCCAGAUCUUACAUGCAGCGACUAGAAGCGGGGAUUCGACGACGGAAAGCCUUGGGUCUCCUCCGGCGAUUUCUGCAAACUCCGGCGACUCGGGCUACCGACAGAGCCGCUUGUGGUAUGAAACCAAACCUCCUCGUCAUGCUCUACAUCCCAAUAUGAUCAGUUUUUAGAUUUAAUCAACUUUUGACGAUUUUACUUCUGGGUUGCUCUCGACCUUGCCGUGUUCUUCGACGCCGGUGGCUUUUCGGGCAUUCCUGGGCUCCAUCUCUUGCUCAGCUGCACUCCUAGCCCCCAAUCGAGAAGUCUGUCGAAUUGCUGGUGUGAAAAUCAUCAGUUCAUGACCAUUUCCGUCUCGACAGUGGGGUUCUGGGGACUGAGUUUGGCUCGAUUGACGUAGAUUUCCGAUUACAAAGGCUAGGUUCGGCUUGCUGUGUUCUUCGUGAGAAAGCACACCUGCAAUUCGAGGUUCCUUUUCGAUCUAGUUGAUCACAAGGUGAGUUGGGUUCUGUUGAAGGUCUGAGAAUUUACACUUCUGGAAACUGGGCUGCCUUGUAGCAUGCAUGCUGUGAUGUUGUGUUUGAGAAGAGUAAAUUGGUAGUUAGUCAGAAGAAAUCGAAAGCUAUGUUGUGAGCUUGCUGUUUUGUCCAUGUUUGCUAAGAUUGUAGUUGUUAAAUGAUUUUGGUGAUGGAUGUUGUAGUAUGUUUCUUAUUCUAAAUCAAUCAAAUUUCGGGAGGCUUCAUGAAGUGCUUCUUUAGGAGUUAAACUUCCAUUUGUGAAAGCGUUGCAUGCUCUCCUUUUUUUGUACUUAUUUGUGAUAUGUUAUUGUUGUUAUUUUACUAAGAUCAAUAAAGUUUUAUAAAUCUGAACGAAGGUUCUUCAAU